AGUGAACGCUGGCGGUAGGCCUAACACAUGCAAGUCGAACGGCAGCACAGUAAGAGCUUGCUCUUACGGGUGGCGAGUGGCGGACGGGUGAGGAAUACAUCGGAAUCUACUUUUUCGUGGGGGAUAACGUAGGGAAACUUACGCUAAUACCGCAUACGACCUACGGGUGAAAGCAGGGGAUCUUCGGACUUUGCGCGAUUGAAUGAGCCGAUGUCGGAUUAGCUAGUUGGCGGGGUAAAGGCCCACCAAGGCGACGAUCCGUAGCUGGUCCGAGAGGAUGAUCAGCCACACUGGAACUGAGACACGGUCCAGACUCCUACGGGAGGCAGCAGUGGGGAAUAUUGGACAAUGGGCGCAAGCCUGAUCCAGCCAUACCGCGUGGGUGAAGAAGGCCUUCGGGUUGUAAAGCCCUUUUGUUGGGAAAGAAAAGCAGCAGGUUAAUACCCCGCUGUUCUGACGGUACCCAAAGAAUAAGCACCGGCUAACUUCGUG
This 492-nucleotide ribosomal RNA is filed under the name uncultured bacterium. RNAcentral describes it as "partial 16S ribosomal RNA". It matches the Rfam family "Bacterial small subunit ribosomal RNA", at positions 29 to 507 of the family's 1533-position model. The record is from RNAcentral.